GACGAACGCUGGCGGCGUGCUUAACACAUGCAAGUCGAACGGAAAGGCCCUGCUUUUGUGGGGUGCUCGAGUGGCUAACGGGUGAGUAACACGUGAGUAACCUGCCCUUGACUUUGGGAUAACUUCAGGAAACUGGGGCUAAUACCGGAUAGGAGCUCCUGCUGCAUGGUGGGGGUUGGAAAGUUUCGGCGGUUGGGGAUGGACUCGCGGCUUAUCAGCUUGUUGGUGGGGUAGUGGCUUACCAAGGCUUUGACGGGUAGCCGGCCUGAGAGGGUGACCGGCCACAUGGGGACUGAGAUACGGCCCAGACUCCUACGGGAGGCAGCAGUGGGGAAUAUUGCACAAUGGGCGGAAGCCUGAUGCAGCAACGCCGCGUGCGGGAUGACGGCCUUCGGGUUGUAAACCGCUUUCGCCUGUGACGAAGCGUGAGUGACGGUAAUGGGUAAAGAAGCACCGGCUAACUACGUG
Molecule: ribosomal RNA, 468 nt
Filed under: uncultured bacterium
Lineage: Bacteria
Description: partial 16S ribosomal RNA
Rfam family: Bacterial small subunit ribosomal RNA
Source: RNAcentral